RNAcentral lists this ribosomal RNA (598 nucleotides) under Saccharomyces cerevisiae (brewer's yeast). RNAcentral's name for it is "partial large subunit ribosomal RNA". It matches the Rfam family "Eukaryotic large subunit ribosomal RNA", at positions 45 to 658 of the family's 3401-position model. The record is from RNAcentral. Lineage: Eukaryota; Fungi; Ascomycota; Saccharomycetes; Saccharomycetales; Saccharomycetaceae.
AAUAGCGGAGGAAAAGAAACCAACCGGGAUUGCCUUAGUAACGGCGAGUGAAGCGGCAAAAGCUCAAAUUUGAAAUCUGGUACCUUCGGUGCCCGAGUUGUAAUUUGGAGAGGGCAACUUUGGGGCCGUUCCUUGUCUAUGUUCCUUGGAACAGGACGUCAUAGAGGGUGAGAAUCCCGUGUGGCGAGGAGUGCGGUUCUUUGUAAAGUGCCUUCGAAGAGUCGAGUUGUUUGGGAAUGCAGCUCUAAGUGGGUGGUAAAUUCCAUCUAAAGCUAAAUAUUGGCGAGAGACCGAUAGCGAACAAGUACAGUGAUGGAAAGAUGAAAAGAACUUUGAAAAGAGAGUGAAAAAGUACGUGAAAUUGUUGAAAGGGAAGGGCAUUUGAUCAGACAUGGUGUUUUGUGCCCUCUGCUCCUUGUGGGUAGGGGAAUCUCGCAUUUCACUGGGCCAGCAUCAGUUUUGGUGGCAGGAUAAAUCCAUAGGAAUGUAGCUUGCCUCGGUAAGUAUUAUAGCCUGUGGGAAUACUGCCAGCUGGGACUGAGGACUGCGACGUAAGUCAAGGAUGCUGGCAUAAUGGUUAUAUGCCGCCCGUCUUGAA